This 798-nucleotide long non-coding RNA is filed under the name Nicotiana tabacum (common tobacco). RNAcentral describes it as "long non-coding RNA (NTAB_LNC004396)". Lineage: Eukaryota; Viridiplantae; Streptophyta; Magnoliopsida; Solanales; Solanaceae. The record is from RNAcentral.
AAACAUUUUGAAAAAGAGUCAUUUUCCUAAACCAGGCGCCCACUUGUAUAACGAGAGGAAUACAUUUUGUUGAACCCAGGCGCCCACCUGAAUAACGAGAGGAAUACAUUUCAGUAUUUGCAUUUCAUGUUCCAGGCGCCCACCUGUAUAACGAGAGGAAUACAUUUCAGUAUUUGCAUUCCUAAAACCAGGCACCCACCUGUAUAACGAGAGGAAUACAUUUCAGUUUUACUUUCAAGUGUUGAAAUUGGGAGCCCGCCCAUAAUAACAGAGGCAUACAUUCAGUUUUUACUUUCAAGUGUUGAAGUUGGGAGCCCGCCUAGAUAACAGAGGCAUACAUUUCAGUCUUUACUUUUCAAGUGUUGAAGUUGGGAGCCCGCCCAUAGAACAGAGGAAUACAUUUCAGUCCUUACAUUUCAAGCAUUGAAGUUAGGCGCCCACCUGUAUAACAAGGGAAUAAAUCCUAAUCUAGUGUUUAGUUCACUCUCAGCACUGCAUCAGUAGUAUCAGUGGGCUACGAUUUUGCUAACGACUCACAAACCUCCCCAGUGCAAACUGGGUUAGGAAAUUUUGUUUGUUUUGUUUGUUUUGAUUGUCAGGAACCCGCCUGUAGAACGGAGUUUGUGGUAUGUCAAAGAUCGAAGAAGUCAGGAGUCUGCCUGUCAAAGAUCAAGCAGUAACCGACUGGAAAGCAGAAGGAUUACAACAGAAAUCCCCAGCAUUCAAUCCAAGUUAGAAGCUCGCCUCAAGAACGCGAAUCAAUAGUCUGGGAUGAUCAACAGAAGCUGGUCACAAAAA